This 373-nucleotide ribosomal RNA is filed under the name uncultured bacterium. RNAcentral describes it as "bacterial SSU rRNA". It matches the Rfam family "Bacterial small subunit ribosomal RNA", at positions 524 to 898 of the family's 1533-position model. The record is from RNAcentral.
UACGUAGGGGGCAAGCGUUAUCCGGAAUUAUUGGGCGUAAAGAGUGCGUAGGUGGUUUUGUAAGCGCGGGGUGAAAGGCUAUGGCUCAACCAUAGUAAGCCUUGCGAACUGUGAGACUUGAGUGCAGGAGAGGAAAGCGGAAUUCCUAGUGUAGCGGUGAAAUGCGUAGAUAUUAGGAGGAACACCAGUGGCGAAGGCGGCUUUCUGGACUGUAACUGACACUGAGGCACGAAAGCGUGGGGAGCAAACAGGAUUAGAUACCCUGGUAGUCCACGCCGUAAACGAUGAGCACUAGGUGUCGGGGCCGCAAGGUUUCGGUGCCGCAGUUAACGCAUUAAGCAUCCCGCCUGGGGAGUACGGUCGCAAGGCUGAA